UCCCUGAUAGCUCAGUUGGUAAAGAAUCUGCCUGCAAUGCAGGAGACCCUGGUUCGAUUCCUGGACCAGGAA
RNAcentral lists this transfer RNA (72 nucleotides) under Bos taurus (domestic cattle). It matches the Rfam family "tRNA". From Rfam's summary of the family: Transfer RNA (tRNA) molecules are approximately 80 nucleotides in length. Their secondary structure includes four short double-helical elements and three loops (D, anti-codon, and T loops). RNAcentral also lists the same sequence under 2 other names. The record is from Rfam by way of RNAcentral. Lineage: Eukaryota; Metazoa; Chordata; Mammalia; Artiodactyla; Bovidae.